Molecule: ribosomal RNA, 460 nt
Filed under: uncultured bacterium
Lineage: Bacteria
Description: bacterial SSU rRNA
Rfam family: Bacterial small subunit ribosomal RNA
Source: RNAcentral
CAUGCGAGUCGAGGGGCAGCACAGUGUAGCAAUACAUGGGUGGCGACCGGCGCAAGGGUGCGUAACGCGUGAGUAACAUGCCCGUAUCAGGAGGAUAACCCGGAGAAAUCCGGACUAAUACUGCAUAAUAUUUUCAGACGGCAUCGUUUGGGAAUUAAAGUUUCGACGGAUACGGAUUGGCUCGCGUGACAUUAGCUAGAUGGAGAGGUAACGGCUCCCCAUGGCGACGAUGUCUAGGGGUUCUGAGAGGAAGGUCCCCCACACUGGAACUGAGACACGGUCCAGACUCCUACGGGAGGCAGCAGUGAGGAAUAUUGGACAAUGGAUGGAAAUCUGAUCCAGCCAUGCCGCGUGCAGGACUACAGUCCUAUGGAUUUUAAACUGCUUUUGUAUGGGAGCAAUAAGUGCUACGAGUAGCGCGAUGAGAGUACCAUACGAAUAAGCAUCGGCUAACUCCGUG